Molecule: non-coding RNA, 385 nt
Organism: Paramuricea clavata
Lineage: Eukaryota; Metazoa; Cnidaria; Anthozoa; Malacalcyonacea; Plexauridae
Source: the annotation of a GenBank genome assembly
UUCCCAUAAAAGGUAAUUUAUUUUCAAUCAAUGCCAUAAAUUAAAACAUUCAAAAAAUGCUAAUAAUUACAACAAAUUUGUUCAGCUUUCCCUGAAAACAAACCAAAUGCAACUUCUAAGUAGACAAUAUUAGCUUUGUUUUGAGUGGAAAACAUUGGCUGCAGUGACACAUAUUGAGCAUGCUUUGAGCUCACACCAUCUUAGAUAUAGCAUCAUCAUAAAUCUUCUUUCUUAGCUGUCUUUUCAUUCUUCUCUGAAACACUAUCUUGUUGUUCACUGGAGGUAUUAUUUUCCUCUUUCCCUGUACCGCUUUCUGGCGUAUUUUCUCGUUCACCAAUUUCUUUCUGUUCAUCAACAAAAUCAAAGAGUUCCUGGUCAUCCUCAG